AGGCAUCAUUCCCAUCAGGCAAUGCUUCUUGUGAAAAGCAAACCCAGAACUGGUGUGUGUUUUUUAUAGGGCAGCUGUAACCAACACCUCCAAUCUCAUCUCUUUGAUUGGACUCCAGUUGGCUGACAUCUCACUCCAAUUAGCUCUUGGAGAUGUCAUUAGUCUAGGGGUUCACAUACCUUUUCCAUCUGCACUGUGAAUGUUUACAUGGUGUGUUCAAUAAAAACAUGGCAACAUUUCGUUCUUUG
Molecule: non-coding RNA, 248 nt
Organism: Pelobates cultripes (western spadefoot toad)
Lineage: Eukaryota; Metazoa; Chordata; Amphibia; Anura; Pelobatidae
Source: the annotation of a GenBank genome assembly